RNAcentral lists this ribosomal RNA (253 nucleotides) under uncultured bacterium. RNAcentral describes it as "partial 16S ribosomal RNA". It matches the Rfam family "Bacterial small subunit ribosomal RNA", at positions 524 to 776 of the family's 1533-position model. The record is from RNAcentral.
CACGUAGGGUGCGAGCGUUGUCCGGAAUUAUUGGGCGUAAAGAGCUCGUAGGCGGUGUGUCGCGUCGGCCGUGAAAACCUGCAGCUUAACUGUGGGCUUGCGGUCGAUACGGGCAGACUAGAGUUCGGCAGGGGAGACUGGAAUUCCUGGUGUAGCGGUGAAAUGCGCAGAUAUCAGGAGGAACACCGGUGGCGAAGGCGGGUCUCUGGGCCGAUACUGACGCUGAGGAGCGAAAGCGUGGGGAGCGAACAGG